Molecule: ribosomal RNA, 253 nt
Filed under: uncultured bacterium
Lineage: Bacteria
Description: partial 16S ribosomal RNA
Rfam family: Bacterial small subunit ribosomal RNA
Source: RNAcentral
GACGUAGGUGGCAAGCGUUAUCCGGAUUUACUGGGCGUAAAGGGUGUGCAGGCGGAGCACCAAGUGGUGUAUGAAAUCUCCCGGCUCAACCGGGUGCGGUUAUGCCAGACUGGUGCUCUUGAGGGCGAGAGAGGGAGGCGGAAUUCCGGGUGUAGUGGUGAAAUGCGUAGAGAUCCGGAGGAACCCCAGAGGCGAAGGCGGCCUCCUGGCUCGCCCCUGACGCUCAGACACGACAGCAUGGGGAGCGAACGGG